GACCGGAUAACUCAAAUGGUAGAGUAACCGACAUGUCUUCAGAGGGUUUUGGGUUCGAAUCCCAGUCCGGUAUCU
Molecule: transfer RNA, 75 nt
Filed under: Cotesia glomerata
Lineage: Eukaryota; Metazoa; Arthropoda; Insecta; Hymenoptera; Braconidae
Description: tRNA-Ser
Rfam family: tRNA
About the family: Transfer RNA (tRNA) molecules are approximately 80 nucleotides in length. Their secondary structure includes four short double-helical elements and three loops (D, anti-codon, and T loops).
Source: RNAcentral